CGGGGUGUAGCUCAGCCUGGUAGAGCGCCUGCUUUGGGAGCAGGAAGUCGCAGGUUCGAAUCCUGUCUCCCCGACCA
This 77-nucleotide transfer RNA is filed under the name Lysobacter sp. RNAcentral's name for it is "tRNA-Pro". It matches the Rfam family "tRNA". Rfam says of the family: Transfer RNA (tRNA) molecules are approximately 80 nucleotides in length. Their secondary structure includes four short double-helical elements and three loops (D, anti-codon, and T loops). RNAcentral also lists the same sequence under 7 other names. Lineage: Bacteria; Pseudomonadati; Pseudomonadota; Gammaproteobacteria; Lysobacterales; Lysobacteraceae. The record is from RNAcentral.